UGCGAUGAGUCGAGAUAGGUCAGACAACUUUAAGUUGUUUCGCUGCGGUGACUAGUGACCAAUUUCACCGGCACACUUUGUACCUACCGUAUUGUAGGCGUGUGAGUCAAUUUGGGUGUGUGAGCCACU
Molecule: non-coding RNA, 129 nt
Filed under: Pediococcus stilesii
Lineage: Bacteria; Bacillati; Bacillota; Bacilli; Lactobacillales; Lactobacillaceae
Description: Enterococcus sRNA 68 (Lacto-3 RNA)
Rfam family: Enterococcus sRNA 68 (Lacto-3 RNA)
About the family: Name 'Ref' stands for RNA in E. faecalis. Also known as Lacto-3 RNA.
Source: Rfam by way of RNAcentral